This 485-nucleotide ribosomal RNA is filed under the name Hopperia novazelandica. Its description in RNAcentral is "SSU rRNA". It matches the Rfam family "Eukaryotic small subunit ribosomal RNA", at positions 266 to 753 of the family's 1831-position model. Lineage: Eukaryota; Metazoa; Nematoda; Chromadorea; Araeolaimida; Comesomatidae. The record is from RNAcentral.
CGAUCGCACGGUCUCGCACCGGCGACGCAUCUUUCAAGUGUCUGCCUUAUCAACUUUCGAUGGUAGUUUAUGUGCCUACCAUGGUUGUAACGGGUAACGGAGAAUAAGGGUUCGACUCCGGAGAGGGAGCCUGAGAAACGGCUACCACAUCCAAGGAAGGCAGCAGGCGCGCAAAUUACCCACUCUCGGCACGAGGAGGUAGUGACGAAAAAAUAACGAGACGGAUCUCUUUGAGGCCCGUUAUCGGAAUGAGAACAAUUCAAAUCCUUUAACGAGGAUCUAGCGGAGGGCAAGUCUGGUGCCAGCAGCCGCGGUAAUUCCAGCUCCGCAGGUGUAUAUCUAUGCUGCUGCGGUUAAAAAGCUCGUAGUUGGAUCUGCGUGCUCGGAACCGGUUGGCUCACUGAGUUCAAACUGGUCUCCGGCGCUUUAUCGGCUGGUUUUCCCUUGAUGCUCUUAACCGGGUGUCUUGGGUGGCUAGCACGUUU